Molecule: ribosomal RNA, 484 nt
Filed under: uncultured bacterium
Lineage: Bacteria
Description: partial 16S ribosomal RNA
Rfam family: Bacterial small subunit ribosomal RNA
Source: RNAcentral
AUUGAACGCUGGCGGCAUGCCUUACACAUGCAAGUCGAACGGCAGCGCGGGAGCAAUCCUGGCGGCGAGUGGCGAACGGGUGUGUAAUACAUCGGAACGUGCCCAAUCGUGGGGGAUAACGCAGCGAAAGCUGUGCUAAUACCGCAUACGAUCUACGGAUGAAAGCAGGGGAUCGCAAGACCUUGCGCGAAUGGAGCGGCCGAUGGCAGAUUAGGUAGUUGGUGAGGUAAAGGCUCACCAAGCCUUCGAUCUGUAGCUGGUCUGAGAGGACGACCAGCCACACUGGGACUGAGACACGGCCCAGACUCCUACGGGAGGCAGCAGUGGGGAAUUUUGGACAAUGGGCGAAAGCCUGAUCCAGCCAUGCCGCGUGCAGGAUGAAGGCCUUCGGGUUGUAAACUGCUUUUGUACGGAACGAAACGGUCUUUUCUAAUAAAGAAGGCUAAUGACGGUACCGUAAGAAUAAGCACCGGCUAACUACGUG